CGCGUGGCGCGUGGGGGCGGGGCUGUCACUGGCCUGGUCCUGAGUAUACGGUCCAGGCGGGUGUUUCAGAUGUGGACUGUGUUUCUCGUUUAGCUGUGCUCCUUUGGCAGGCCACUUGACGUCUCUGAACCUCACUUUCUUCCUCAUCCCUUUUUUUUUCUUUCUUUUUUUUUUUUGAGAGCGCCCCUGCGAGCGUGGGGGAGGGGCAGAGGGAAAGGGAAAAUCUCAAAUAAAUUCCAGGCCCAGCACAGAGCCUGAAGCCGGGGCUGGAUUACACCAUCCUGAGAUUAUGACGCCAGCGGAAAUCAAGAGUUCCACGUUUACCCGUCAGCCUAACUGUGGGAGCCACACAGAGGACCCCCUCCUCAUCCCUCCCCAAAAUGGGGAUGCUUGGGGCAUCUGGGUGGCUCCGUCAGUCAAGACUUGAUUUCGGCUCAGUGUGAAAGGUGAUCUGCGGUGCGACACAGGACUGGACAUCUAGCACAGUGACACCAGAGCCCCAAACUCCUGCAAAUAUCUGAACAGUUGUGCAAAGACUGUUAAAACUCUUUGAAAAUGCCUACGUUUGUGAACAGUUCUUCUCAAUUAUUGAAGUCAAGGCUACCAGUCAAGGCUGAAUUCCGUGCUCGCGUGGAACUUGGUACAAGAUUUAAACAAUGAUGUGCUAAAGAAAAAGUCGCAGAUUUCUGGUUCCAAAACAAGAGUUAACAAAUUGUGAAAGAAAAUGUUAAAAGUAAAAUAUUUCUAUUUUAUGUUUUUUUUUUCCAAUUUUGAAUUUAAGUUACCAUUGUCAAUAUCAGGUGUAUGCAUUAUGUGGUAUGGUUGUAAUCCUGGUUCAGAAAAAUAAAGUUUGAUUAUGCUUCUGGCA
Molecule: long non-coding RNA, 868 nt
Organism: Acinonyx jubatus (cheetah)
Lineage: Eukaryota; Metazoa; Chordata; Mammalia; Carnivora; Felidae
Exons: 2
Source: RefSeq, a predicted model, not a curated record